UAGAUUUUUAAAGUUUUUUCGAUCAUUCCUCGUUGCAAUCACGAUUUUGGUGGUUUUAACUAAUAUUUCGGUUUAUAUAUUCUAUAUUUGUAAAGAAAUGACUACAGUUCAACAAUUUUUGGAAGUGGUGGGAGGACACAAAUCGACUCGUUCAUUGAUAUACUUGAACUAACCAGCACAGCAUCUGAGAGCAAUAAAAUUUUGUAUA
This is a long non-coding RNA of Caenorhabditis elegans, 208 nucleotides long. Ensembl annotates it as ncRNA. Its record names the gene linc-18. Lineage: Eukaryota; Metazoa; Nematoda; Chromadorea; Rhabditida; Rhabditidae. The record is from Ensembl.